GAGCUAUUACACGACACUAUGCUUUCCACUGUAAAAUAUUUUCACGUUACCUGGUACAGUUGCCUUUUCUACCAAAUUUAUAUUUUUCACCAUUGAAUGAAUUUCAUCUGUUCGUACGCCAAUAGAGGACAAUUUCUGCUCCACAUUCUCAUGAAACACACUGUUGGCUUGCAACUCCUUCACAUGACAUUCAUGUAAUUCUUGAACUCUCUCCGUAGGGAAAUCAUCCUCGCUCAUUUGACCAAUAGUAUCCACAAAAGCGGUAUCAAUAUUAACUGCUGUUAAUGCGUUCGUUACUAGCUGAACAUAGUUGUCAAAAUC
Molecule: non-coding RNA, 321 nt
Organism: Paramuricea clavata
Lineage: Eukaryota; Metazoa; Cnidaria; Anthozoa; Malacalcyonacea; Plexauridae
Source: the annotation of a GenBank genome assembly